UUUGCCAAUUCAAGUUCGUACGAAGUUCUUUCCGCUGUGGAGUGGUGGGUGUCUUGAACAGUUUUAGGUAUUAGAUUUCACUCAAAACUCACCAAAUUAGUCCUCCCACCAAAUUAUGAUGUUGAACAAUUUUUGGAUUCAAUUCGAUAUUGAUUGGUCCUUGAAAUUGUACAAUUCAGGUUCGUACGAAGUUCAUUCUGAAAUGGAGUGGUUUGUGUUUUUCAUAGUUUGCGAAAUUGGAUUUCAAU
This 248-nucleotide long non-coding RNA is filed under the name Prunus persica (peach). Its description in RNAcentral is "long non-coding RNA (PPER_LNC002227)". Lineage: Eukaryota; Viridiplantae; Streptophyta; Magnoliopsida; Rosales; Rosaceae. The record is from RNAcentral.